RNAcentral lists this long non-coding RNA (815 nucleotides) under Capsella rubella. Its description in RNAcentral is "long non-coding RNA (CRUB_LNC004458)". The record is from RNAcentral. Lineage: Eukaryota; Viridiplantae; Streptophyta; Magnoliopsida; Brassicales; Brassicaceae.
AUACAUUAAAGGGAAGUCUGAGAAAACAAAAAAAGAAAAGAAAAAAAAAAGUUUGAGAAAAAGGAAAAGAUAAAUGAAGUCUGAGGAAAAAAAAGGAAAGACUAACGUCACAUUGCUUUGACAUUUUAUCGUCACGGACAGGUCUCAUCGUGAAGGCUUACCGCUUAAUCACGGCGAUUAGACCUUCAUUGACAUAACUUUUUCAACGACGCCUACGUGCGGUAAUUUCAUUUUUUUUUUGUUUUAUUCGUCUAAACAGUACUACUACGUGGCAUUAAUAUUGAAUUACUUCUUUUUUUUUUUUAAUUCAUCCAUAUUUUGUUUUCAGCUUAAAAUGGAAAUAAAAACUCAUAAAUGUGUUAACGAGAGGAAUCGUAAAACUAACACUUUUUUUGAAUAUGAACUAUAAAGAAAAAUACGUGCUAUAUAUGUUUAGGGAUUUGUUUUGGCUGGACAGCGAUCCCUAGUCUAGGUCUAGGUCACGAGUCAUUAUUAUUAGCCGAUGAAGGUAUGUGAUCUUCUUCCAUCUUUACCCAAACUAAUACCAUGAAUAUGAUGUAUUCUUUUCUGUAUUUAGAAAUCUUUAGUAGCUCAUUCAAUUACAAAGUUGAAAAACUUAGCUUUCACGUUAAUACUUCCAACAUUUUGGAAAAUGUAUAAGUACAAAGGAUAUGAGGGUUAUUUAGUUCUUCUCUACAAAUUAAAAUUUUGCCUAUGCAUAAUUCAUCAAUAUAUAAGAUGUGCACACACAUGAUGUAAACAAUAGACAUGACAAUGUUAAGAGUAAAACCGUUAGUGGUUUAUCUGAAAACAAG